Nothobranchius furzeri (turquoise killifish) is the source of this 1089-nucleotide non-coding RNA. Lineage: Eukaryota; Metazoa; Chordata; Actinopteri; Cyprinodontiformes; Nothobranchiidae. The record is from RefSeq and is a predicted model, not a curated record.
CUUGCGGGCCGGCCGGCAGAAAAACUUAAAAACAAUGGCGGACAGUGAAGCGGGAGCUGUCGGAGAGGAUUGCGCAUAUAAAUGACCAAAAGAGAAAACCAGGGAAUUUAUUAAGCUUAGGGCGGAGAUGGACCACAUGAUCACCGGAGCAAAGUAUUCGGCGGCUGUGGCAUGGAGACUAUUCUGGAGAAAAUGGGCAUCCAGGGGAAGGUGCCAGCGAUGACCAGCUUCUGGAGCUGAUCUGGGAGGACAUGAGGCUGCAGAGGGAGGCAGAGCAGCAGAGAGCACAGGAGAGAAGGAAGAACUUUGACAGCUUUUUACUUUGCUAGAAAAAAAUGGUUAAUGAAGAUUAAACAUGUACAUGUAAAAGAAAUAUCUAAAUAAAAUCAGUUCUGCAUUAAACUCUUGAAUUUUAUUUUUGUUUACAAAUGAGAAUUGUUUACUAGAGGGUAUCCGCUGGGUCUUGAAAAGUCUUAAAAGGUGAUAAAUUGGUUUUGGUCUAAGACCCUUAGAAAGUAUUAAAAACUAUUAUCACAUCUUUGCUCAGGCUCAGCUAGUCUAAAGUAUUUUCUCUGAAUUAGCUCUCCCAACAGUCAAGGAAAUGAUUAACCCCCAGAGACCCACGGUUGUAGUAUUACAACAUCAGAUUUAAGUCUACAAAAAUAAACCUUCCCCAUUUUUCUUCUUUUUAAAACCACAUUUACAUUGCUAAUAGGUCCUAUUCAGUUCUGCAACACCAUUGGCUGUUAAAAUGUGUAAAUAGGCCCGUUUAUCUGGCCUCCUAGAACAACAUGUGAAAGGUUAAAAAAUAUUUUGCAGUUGUUUUCUAAAUUUGGGUUUCUGGGGGUUAAAAAGCUAAAUAAAACGUCGAGCUCCAUCGUUUAAGGUUCCUUCUGCCCAGCGGUUCCACGGUUGCUAGGCGACGGAACGUUCGCCGAGGGAGUUCAUGAAGGCUAGGCCUGUCCAAAUUCACAGCCGUUAACAUCCGGUCUACCCGGCCGACGGAGGACGCAGCCCACGUCGGCCGGGUGGGCUGGGUCCUUCGAAGGAUGCAGACCCUGAAUUGAGACACAGCCGUUGUCGCUACCC